AUCGUAACAAGGUCUCCGUAGGUGAACCUGCGGAGGGAUCAUUAAUGCGAGGACCGAUCUUUCGAGAACGGUAACCCCCAACCCCAUGUUAUCUGACCCUGUUGCCUCGGGGGCGACCCGGCCUUUUGGCUCCGGGGCCCCCGGUGGAAACCCAUCAAACACUGCAUCCAUGCGUCCGAGUAAAUAUCAAAUCAAUUAAAACUUUCAACAACGGAUCUCUUGGUUCUGGCAUCGAUGAAGAACGCAGCGAAAUGCGAUAAGUAAUGUGAAUUGCAGAAUUCAGUGAAUCAUCGAAUCUUUGAACGCACAUUGCGCCCCCUGGCAUUCCGGGGGGCAUGCCUGUUCGAGCGUCAUUACACCACUCAAGCCUAGCUUGGUAUUGGAGGCCGCGAGCGAUCGCGCCUCUUAAAGUCACCGGCUGAGCCGUCCGUCUCCAAGCGUUGUGGCAACUAUCCGCGAGCGAGACCCGGGCGACCCGGCCGUUAAACCCCCACUACAGGUUGACCUCGGAUCAGGUAGGGAUACCCGCUGAACUUAAGCAUAUCAUA
Molecule: unclassified non-coding RNA, 548 nt
Filed under: leaf metagenome
Description: partial contains small subunit ribosomal RNA, internal transcribed spacer 1, 5.8S ribosomal RNA, internal transcribed spacer 2, and large subunit ribosomal RNA
Rfam family: 5.8S ribosomal RNA (bases 200-353)
Source: RNAcentral